GGUGGGCCUUUAGUCCCGGAAGGGCAGCACCGGCUCGGGAACCGGGACAACAGGCCCUUUCCGACCGGUGCUAAUGCCCGAACGUGUGGCAGUGAUAUUGAUGGAUUUGUGAUGUUUUAUUUCUAAUUUAAAUUACGAACACUGAUUCCACCAAAAAAAAUAUAAAAUAAAUUAUUAGAAAAAACCAAAAACAAAUAGCUACUGGCUAGCACCGAACCGGUAGUGAUGGCAACAGUAGCAGCUUGAGCUUGGAGCCGGUAGUGUUUCUAAACCUCUCACGGUCAGUUUGAGCCACAAGCCGACAGUGAUGGCAUGAGCAUCACUAUCAGCUUGAUCCAGCAGUGAUGUUUUGAGAAUCACUAUCGGCUCAAGCGACAAGUCCGUAGUGUUAGCUUGAGCAUAGUGUUAACUCAACUGACACUGCCGGCCGG
Molecule: long non-coding RNA, 431 nt
Filed under: Sorghum bicolor (sorghum)
Lineage: Eukaryota; Viridiplantae; Streptophyta; Magnoliopsida; Poales; Poaceae
Description: long non-coding RNA (SBIC_LNC000501)
Source: RNAcentral